Molecule: long non-coding RNA, 1803 nt
Organism: Oreochromis niloticus (Nile tilapia)
Lineage: Eukaryota; Metazoa; Chordata; Actinopteri; Cichliformes; Cichlidae
Exons: 3
Source: RefSeq, a predicted model, not a curated record
AGAAAAAGCAAGUCCAGUCAGCAAACAUGCACAUGAAUUUUAAUAUCACCCUCUGACCAUUUGAACACAAAAAUCUUUCUGAGCAAGACAGUUUCUUGAUAAAGUUUCAUUCAUGCGUCAAGAUACUUCAUAAAACUUCCACAAACACUUUACUUAAUCAAGGAGUCUCUGUAUGCACAGAUAUGUAAUGUUCUUUUCCUAUAUUUAGACUUCUGCAGUGAAUAUUUGUAUAGCCGACGCAUAAGUGGCCAACACUGCUAUGUCUCAGUUACUGUGUGGUUAUGUGGACAGUUUUACAUGUAGUGCCAGCCACAAUAGAAACACAUAAAAUGCUGGGACUUUUUCCCCCUCCUGGGUUCCCACAGUUUGAUUUAAAAACUGAAAAAACAGCAGGAAAUGAACAUGAGAUGUGUAGUUACAUUUCCAGGGAGGUGCAUGUCAGGUUACGGCGUAGGGUUUCAGAGAGGUUUGCAGUUACAAUCUACCUACGGCAUAGACUUACUAGAAGUAUAAAUCACCCGUGAUACUGAGUAAGAGCAGUGUUGAGUUUGAAGGUGUUUGGAUGAGACCUUCUCAUUUCACAACAUGUGAGGCGUUUAGGGAAUAUCUGUCAUGCAUACACCAUCCAUCACCACCGAGUGAAUUUCAAGCUGUGGGAAACAGUGCGGUGCAGUUUUAAAUAGGAGUGGUUCUACCCAUGUCGUCCAUGUUCCCUGCGGCCAAAGCGAGUUACUAAAAGUUGAGUUUUUAAUUUAGUUAUAUAGCUCCUGCCAGAGCAACUUUCGAUAAUUAAGUUGCUUGGUUAAUUCACCAGCUGAGCCAUUUGUCAUGCACUCAGUGAUAAAUUUACCUGCUACUUUCACAGCAGUCGUGUGGUGUUGUGAGAAAGGACCCAAAACGUGGGCACUGGCUGUGAUGCGAAGGAGCUUUGUUGUAGAAGGUGAAAACAACAAAAGCGAGGACAGAACUAAACAUAAACAUAAACUGGGAAAACUAGUAACAAACAAAACCCGAAACCAUAACUAACGGAAUGACACGCAGGGAAAAACAUACGGAGGUUACACAGGGGAUGGUGAGCGGAGAUGACACCGAGAUUCCCCAAAUAACACAGACAGAGCGACAAUGACCACAGGUGAAACCACACUAUAUAAACACACAAGGUAACAAGGGAAUGACACACCAGAGGAGGACACAGCUGAACCUAAUUAGACAUGAGAGACACAGACCUUCAAAGUAAAACAGGAAAUUUACAAACUGUUUUACAAACACAAACUCAGGGACACGAACAGAGCACCACGGGAGGACACAGGUUCUAAGAGAAGUGAGGAAACGCACAGGAAAAAAACACCCAGUUGUUGUGAACCAUCUAUCCAAAACAGGAUUAAAGAGCCAACCGUCGCAGUCAGGGUGACUCAAGUCACGGCAGGACACACGACGCCGACUCAUAGCCGUCGUCUUUCCUGAAAGACAAAUAAGGAAGAGGAGGGAGAUAAGGAUCAUGAUAAGUGAACUCAAUUUUGGGGGAUUUCUUGGCUUUUUUGGGACUUUUGCGAUGUCUGCAGUAUUAGAUUCUUUUAAAACUAUUCCAGGAAAUAUAAAAGCACAGAAAAUGUAAGAUUUAAUAUUUAAGUUGAAGCAGUUUUUAUUUUGGGGGAAUUCGACUUGAUCUUCCUUUGCAAUUCCAAGCACUGAAUUCAUGUUAUUCUUUACUGCUACAUUAUUGCCACAGCAACUGAACCCUCUUAAUCUCUGUAUCACACAGCUGAGUUGACUUAGUAUCAUCCAUAAAGCUUCCAACAAACU